UAACAAGGUCUCCGUUGGUGAACCAGCGGAGGGAUCAUUAUAGAGUUUUCUAAACUCCCAACCCAUGUGAACUUACCUUUUGUUGCCUCGGCAGAAGUUAUAGGUCUUCUUAUAGCUGCUGCCGGUGGACCAUUAAACUCUUGUUAUUUUAUGUAAUCUGAGCGUCUUAUUUUAAUAAGUCAAAACUUUCAACAACGGAUCUCUUGGUUCUGGCAUCGAUGAAGAACGCAGCGAAAUGCGAUAAGUAAUGUGAAUUGCAGAAUUCAGUGAAUCAUCGAAUCUUUGAACGCACAUUGCGCCCAUUAGUAUUCUAGUGGGCAUGCCUGUUCGAGCGUCAUUUCAACCCUUAAGCCUAGCUUAGUGUUGGGAAUCUACUUCUUUAUAGUUGUAGUUCCUGAAAUACAACGGCGGAUUUGUAGUAUCCUCUGAGCGUAGUAAUUUUUUUCUCGCUUUUGUUAGGUGCUAUAACUCCCAGCCGCUAAACCCCCAAUUUUUUGUGGUUGACCUCGGAUCAGGUAGGAAUACCCGCUGAACUUAAGCAUAUCAAU
RNAcentral lists this unclassified non-coding RNA (548 nucleotides) under Neopestalotiopsis sp. RNAcentral's name for it is "partial contains 18S rRNA, ITS1, 5.8S rRNA, ITS2 and 28S rRNA". The stretch from base 184 to 337 matches the Rfam family "5.8S ribosomal RNA". Lineage: Eukaryota; Fungi; Ascomycota; Sordariomycetes; Amphisphaeriales; Sporocadaceae. The record is from RNAcentral.